Molecule: ribosomal RNA, 2925 nt
Filed under: Escherichia coli
Lineage: Bacteria; Pseudomonadati; Pseudomonadota; Gammaproteobacteria; Enterobacterales; Enterobacteriaceae
Description: bacterial LSU rRNA
Rfam family: Bacterial large subunit ribosomal RNA
Source: RNAcentral
GGGUUGUGAGGUUAAGCGACUAAGCGUACACGGUGGAUGCCCUGGCAGUCAGAGGCGAUGAAGGACGUGCUAAUCUGCGAUAAGCGUCGGUAAGGUGAUAUGAACCGUUAUAACCGGCGAUUUCCGAAUGGGGAAACCCAGUGUGUUUCGACACACUAUCAUUAACUGAAUCCAUAGGUUAAUGAGGCGAACCGGGGGAACUGAAACAUCUAAGUACCCCGAGGAAAAGAAAUCAACCGAGAUUCCCCCAGUAGCGGCGAGCGAACGGGGAGGAGCCCAGAGUCUGAAUCAGUGUGUGUGUUAGUGGAAGCGUCUGGAAAGGCGUGCGAUACAGGGUGACAGCCCCGUACACAAAAAUGCACAUAUUGUGAGCUCGAUGAGUAGGGCGGGACACGUGGUAUCCUGUCUGAAUAUGGGGGGACCAUCCUCCAAGGCUAAAUACUCCUGACUGACCGAUAGUGAACCAGUACCGUGAGGGAAAGGCGAAAAGAACCCCGGCGAGGGGAGUGAAAAAGAACCUGAAACCGUGUACGUACAAGCAGUGGGAGCCUCUUAAUGGGGUGACUGCGUACCUUUUGUAUAAUGGGUCAGCGACUUAUAUUCUGUAGCAAGGUUAACCGAAUAGGGGAGCCGAAGGGAAACCGAGUCUUAACUGGGCGUUAAGUUGCAGGGUAUAGACCCGAAACCCGGUGAUCUAGCCAUGGGCAGGUUGAAGGUUGGGUAACACUAACUGGAGGACCGAACCGACUAAUGUUGAAAAAUUAGCGGAUGACUUGUGGCUGGGGGUGAAAGGCCAAUCAAACCGGGAGAUAGCUGGUUCUCCCCGAAAGCUAUUUAGGUAGCGCCUCGUGAAUUCAUCUCCGGGGGUAGAGCACUGUUUCGGCAAGGGGGUCAUCCCGACUUACCAACCCGAUGCAAACUGCGAAUACCGGAGAAUGUUAUCACGGGAGACACACGGCGGGUGCUAACGUCCGUCGUGAAGAGGGAAACAACCCAGACCGCCAGCUAAGGUCCCAAAGUCAUGGUUAAGUGGGAAACGAUGUGGGAAGGCCCAGACAGCCAGGAUGUUGGCUUAGAAGCAGCCAUCAUUUAAAGAAAGCGUAAUAGCUCACUGGUCGAGUCGGCCUGCGCGGAAGAUGUAACGGGGCUAAACCAUGCACCGAAGCUGCGGCAGCGACACUAUGUGUUGUUGGGUAGGGGAGCGUUCUGUAAGCCUGUGAAGGUGGCCUGUGAGGGUUGCUGGAGGUAUCAGAAGUGCGAAUGCUGACAUAAGUAACGAUAAAGCGGGUGAAAAGCCCGCUCGCCGGAAGACCAAGGGUUCCUGUCCAACGUUAAUCGGGGCAGGGUGAGUCGACCCCUAAGGCGAGGCCGAAAGGCGUAGUCGAUGGGAAACAGGUUAAUAUUCCUGUACUUGGUGUUACUGCGAAGGGGGGACGGAGAAGGCUAUGUUGGCCGGGCGACGGUUGUCCCGGUUUAAGCGUGUAGGCUGGUUUUCCAGGCAAAUCCGGAAAAUCAAGGCUGAGGCGUGAUGACGAGGCACUACGGUGCUGAAGUAACAAAUGCCCUGCUUCCAGGAAAAGCCUCUAAGCAUCAGGUAACAUCAAAUCGUACCCCAAACCGACACAGGUGGUCAGGUAGAGAAUACCAAGGCGCUUGAGAGAACUCGGGUGAAGGAACUAGGCAAAAUGGUGCCGUAACUUCGGGAGAAGGCACGCUGAUAUGUAGGUGAAGCGACUUGCUCGUGGAGCUGAAAUCAGUCGAAGAUACCAGCUGGCUGCAACUGUUUAUUAAAAACACAGCACUGUGCAAACACGAAAGUGGACGUAUACGGUGUGACGCCUGCCCGGUGCCGGAAGGUUAAUUGAUGGGGUUAGCGGUAACGCGAAGCUCUUGAUCGAAGCCCCGGUAAACGGCGGCCGUAACUAUAACGGUCCUAAGGUAGCGAAAUUCCUUGUCGGGUAAGUUCCGACCUGCACGAAUGGCGUAAUGAUGGCCAGGCUGUCUCCACCCGAGACUCAGUGAAAUUGAACUCGCUGUGAAGAUGCAGUGUACCCGCGGCAAGACGGAAAGACCCCGUGAACCUUUACUAUAGCUUGACACUGAACAUUGAGCCUUGAUGUGUAGGAUAGGUGGGAGGCUUUGAAGUGUGGACGCCAGUCUGCAUGGAGCCGACCUUGAAAUACCACCCUUUAAUGUUUGAUGUUCUAACGUUGGCCCGUAAUCCGGGUUGCGGACAGUGUCUGGUGGGUAGUUUGACUGGGGCGGUCUCCUCCUAAAGAGUAACGGAGGAGCACGAAGGUUGGCUAAUCCUGGUCGGACAUCAGGAGGUUAGUGCAAUGGCAUAAGCCAGCUUGACUGCGAGCGUGACGGCGCGAGCAGGUGCGAAAGCAGGUCAUAGUGAUCCGGUGGUUCUGAAUGGAAGGGCCAUCGCUCAACGGAUAAAAGGUACUCCGGGGAUAACAGGCUGAUACCGCCCAAGAGUUCAUAUCGACGGCGGUGUUUGGCACCUCGAUGUCGGCUCAUCACAUCCUGGGGCUGAAGUAGGUCCCAAGGGUAUGGCUGUUCGCCAUUUAAAGUGGUACGCGAGCUGGGUUUAGAACGUCGUGAGACAGUUCGGUCCCUAUCUGCCGUGGGCGCUGGAGAACUGAGGGGGGCUGCUCCUAGUACGAGAGGACCGGAGUGGACGCAUCACUGGUGUUCGGGUUGUCAUGCCAAUGGCACUGCCCGGUAGCUAAAUGCGGAAGAGAUAAGUGCUGAAAGCAUCUAAGCACGAAACUUGCCCCGAGAUGAGUUCUCCCUGACUCCUUGAGGGUCCUGAAGGAACGUUGAAGACGACGACGUUGAUAGGCCGGGUGUGUAAGCGCAGCGAUGCGUUGAGCUAACCGGUACUAAUGAACCGUGAGGCUUAACCUUACAACGCCGAAG